AUUGAACGCUGGCGGCAUGCUUUACACAUGCAAGUCGAACGGUAACAGGCCGCAAGGUGCUGACGAGUGGCGAACGGGUGAGAAAUGCAUCGGAACGUGCCCAGUCGUGGGGGAUAACUACUCGAAAGAGUAGCUAAUACCGCAUACGAUCUAUGGAUGAAAGCGGGGGACCGUAAGGCCUCGCGCGAUUGGAGCGGCCGAUGUCGGAUUAGGUAGUUGGUGGGGUAAAGGCUCACCAAGCCAACGAUCUGUAGCUGGUCUGAGAGGACGACCAGCCACACUGGGACUGAGACACGGCCCAGACUCCUACGGGAGGCAGCAGUGGGGAAUUUUGGACAAAGGGCGCAAGCCUGAUCCAGCAAUGCCGCGUGCAGGAAGAAGGCCUUCGGGUUGUAAACUGCUUUUGUACGGAACGAAACGGCUCUGGUUAAUACCCGGGGCUAAUGACGGUACCGUAAGAAUAAGCACCGGCUAACUACGUG
This 482-nucleotide ribosomal RNA is filed under the name uncultured bacterium. RNAcentral's name for it is "partial 16S ribosomal RNA". It matches the Rfam family "Bacterial small subunit ribosomal RNA", at positions 30 to 507 of the family's 1533-position model. The record is from RNAcentral.